GAACCGCGAUAAGUAAUGUGAAUUGCAGAAUUCAGUGAAUCAUCGAGUCUUUGAACGCACAUUGCGCCCCCUGGCAUUCCGGGGGGCAUGCCUGUCCGAGCGUCAUUGCUGCCCUUCAAGCCCGGCUUGUGUGUUGGGUCGUCGUCCCCUCCGGGGGACGGGCCCGAAAGGCAGCGGCGGCACCGCGUCCGGUCCUCGAGCGUAUGGGGCUUUGUCACCCGCUCGAUAAGGACCGGCCGGGCGCCAGCCGGCGUCUCCAACCUUUUUUUCUCAGGUUGACCUCGGAUCAGGUAGGGAUACCCGCUGAACUUAAGC
RNAcentral lists this unclassified non-coding RNA (315 nucleotides) under plant metagenome. RNAcentral's name for it is "partial contains 5.8S ribosomal RNA, internal transcribed spacer 2, and large subunit ribosomal RNA". The stretch from base 1 to 105 matches the Rfam family "5.8S ribosomal RNA", at positions 50 to 154 of the family's 154-position model. The record is from RNAcentral.